This 253-nucleotide ribosomal RNA is filed under the name uncultured bacterium. RNAcentral describes it as "partial 16S ribosomal RNA". It matches the Rfam family "Bacterial small subunit ribosomal RNA", at positions 524 to 776 of the family's 1533-position model. The record is from RNAcentral.
UACGGAGGGGGCUAGCGUUGUUCGGAAUUACUGGGCGUAAAGCGCGCGUAGGCGGACCUGCAAGUCGGACGUGAAAUCCCCAGGCUCAACCUGGGAACUGCGUCCGAUACUGGAUGGCUUGAAUCCGGGAGAGGGAUGCAGAAUUCCAGGUGUAGCGGUGAAAUGCGUAGAUAUCUGGAGGAAUACCGGUGGCGAAGGCGGCAUCCUGGACCGGCAUUGACGCUAAGGAGCGAAAGCGUGGGGAGCAAACAGG